Solanum lycopersicum (tomato) is the source of this 1541-nucleotide non-coding RNA. Lineage: Eukaryota; Viridiplantae; Streptophyta; Magnoliopsida; Solanales; Solanaceae. The record is from RefSeq and is a predicted model, not a curated record.
AGGUUACGAGCUCGAAUCUUCGUGAUUCCUGUCAUUCUUUUCGUUUCUGAGGCAUCUUGUGGAGGGUUGUGAGAUUUUAAUGAUUUUAUGGAAAACAUGUUAGAGAAUGCUGGUUAUGCUGUUCUAGUAUGCAUUUUAGAACUCCUCUACCAUAAAUAAAAGUGUAAUCAACAUUCAAAAACAUUUGUGGAGGAUUCAAGAUAUGAUUUCGACUAGCAUAAGUGUCAUAACUAGGCUGAACUUCAAAAUCGUCAAAAUUCUGGAAAAACAGCUGAUGAUGCCUUCAAGGCAGUGUUUUGAAAGGAGAAGCCUGGACGACUUAGGUGCUAUGGCAGAUCAACAAGUUCUCUGAAAAAAGAUGAGAAAAUUAACAAGAUAAAAUAAAAAGCAUGCUAAUGAAUCAGUUCUCUGAAGGAAGAAAUGAAUGAAAUGAGAGAUGAAAUGCUAUAUUUUUUUAGUCAAUUGCUGCAAAACAACUCUGGAUUGAAUGUUCAAGAUAUACCAAGGGUUGUUGGAUCUAACCUUGUUUCACCGGUUGAUGAAAGUAGCGCACAACCUCUAAGAGGCCGAAAUAUUCAAAAUUCUUAAGGGUCAACUCAUGAUCCAAUUCUUCAAAAGAAAAUUCGGGCUGGUUGUCUUGAAGUAGUGGUAGCAGAGGCUCUAAGGUCAUGCCUAUGGUUAGUGUGAUCAAUCCCAUGUUAAGCAUGAGUCAAGUGCCCCCCUUUGGUAACCCCUUCCUGCAAGAUAGUGGUUUUCUCCUGACAUCCCCCAUUCAUACCUCCAUGAACUUCAUCAGUAAGACCAACAUCAACAUCAAUAACAUGGAGGUGAUGGGGUAUUGAGAGAAUUGAGUCAAUACCUAUGAUCUUGUUAUUUUAGUUGGUUUUGACUUGUACCUUUUGCAUAGUAAUUUAUUUUGAGUGUCUGAUAGAGAUGACUCACUUUUUUUCUCUUGAAAUAUUUGGGUUCCAUGAUCUGUUGCAAUUCUACUGGUGCCCUCCAUAGCAGUAUCCUUGACUGGAUGUUCCUGCAUAUCUAGGUUAGUAAAAAUAUUAUGUGUGUGAAUUGUAGAUAACAUACCUGGUAGUGCUGGUGCCUGUUGCAUAUUAUCAUUUCAAUACUUCUGCUGGGGUGAGAAAGGUCUCCAUAUGGUCUUAGCAUGAUGUUGUUCUUGGCGUCUCGUUUGCUUCCUUUUUUAGGUCUGCCAGUGAUCUUCGUGGUCAGCUGUUUUUAGGUCCCAGUUGGUCUGUCCUACAUGUUUGUAGGUCAUUGUUGAUCUAUUAUGUUAUUUUUCUAUGUGUUUUGUGACUCUCUGUUUUUUCAUCCAUUGAGUCAUAUAGUGCACAAUUCUUGUUGUUUCAUCUAAGAGUUGGAUUACCAUCGUCUUAUACACCAUGGUGUUUUGAAAUGCUAAAGGUAGAAGUCUGGGAACGUAAAUCCAGAGAGUAAGUAUUGGUGUUGUAUAAUUAUCAUUUUUGUUCUUUUGAAAUGUUGAAGCCCCAAACUCUGAGAAAAUAAGUAUUCGUGUUGUUUAAUUGUCA